RNAcentral lists this ribosomal RNA (253 nucleotides) under uncultured bacterium. RNAcentral describes it as "partial 16S ribosomal RNA". It matches the Rfam family "Bacterial small subunit ribosomal RNA", at positions 524 to 776 of the family's 1533-position model. The record is from RNAcentral.
UACGGGGGGGGCAAGCGUUGUUCGGAAUUACUGGGCGUAAAGGGCGCGUAGGCGGCCCGCUAAGUCAGACGUGAAAUCCCUCGGCUCAACCGGGGAACUGCGUCUGAUACUGGCAGGCUUGAAUCCGGGAGAGGGAUGUGGAAUUCCAGGUGUAGCGGUGAAAUGCGUAGAUAUCUGGAGGAACACCGGUGGCGAAGGCGGCAUCCUGGACCGGCAUUGACGCUGAGGAGCGAAAGCUAGGGGAGCAAACGGG